AGAAUAGGCCCAAGCGACUGUUUAUCAAAAACACAGGUCUCUGCUAAACCGUAAGGUGAUGUAUAGGGGCUGAUGC
RNAcentral lists this ribosomal RNA (76 nucleotides) under Candidatus Phytoplasma planchoniae. RNAcentral's name for it is "partial 23S ribosomal RNA". It matches the Rfam family "Bacterial large subunit ribosomal RNA", at positions 1783 to 1858 of the family's 2925-position model. Lineage: Bacteria; Bacillati; Mycoplasmatota; Mollicutes; Acholeplasmatales; Acholeplasmataceae. The record is from RNAcentral.